RNAcentral lists this ribosomal RNA (253 nucleotides) under uncultured bacterium. RNAcentral's name for it is "partial 16S ribosomal RNA". It matches the Rfam family "Bacterial small subunit ribosomal RNA", at positions 524 to 776 of the family's 1533-position model. The record is from RNAcentral.
UACAGAGGUCCCAAGCGUUGUUCGGAUUCACUGGGCGUAAAGGGUGCGUAGGUGGUGAGGUAAGUCGGAUGUGAAAUCUCCGGGCUCAACCCGGAAACUGCAUUGGAAACUACCUUGCCUGAGGAUUUGAGGGGGGAUUGGAAUACUUGGUGUAGCAGUGAAAUGCGUAGAUAUCAAGUGGAACACCAGUGGCGAAGGCGAAUCCCUGGAAAAUACCUGACACUGAGGCACGAAAGCUAGGGGAGCAAACAGG